RNAcentral lists this unclassified non-coding RNA (327 nucleotides) under Hevea brasiliensis (rubber tree). Lineage: Eukaryota; Viridiplantae; Streptophyta; Magnoliopsida; Malpighiales; Euphorbiaceae. The record is from RNAcentral.
UGAGCUCCAUGAUCUGGUUCAUCAGCUUCUCAGUGUUGCCCAUGGUGGCGGAUCGGGUGUGGAGGAGGGGAAUUAGGGUUAGGGUUCCGGCGAUCUCUGCCGAUGCGAACAGCGGCGAGGAUCGGGGAAUGAGAGGUGCGGCGGGCUGUUACAAACUAUCUGUCGACAAACAUCACCAGGUUCUAGCGGCGGCGGCGGCGGCGAUGGACCCGGAUUUUUCCCACUCGAGCAGCGACCAGAACUUCGAGUUUGCCUUCAAUUCGAGCAAUUUCUCCGACCGAGUUCUACGGAUCGAGAUCGUGGCCGGGUUGCCGGAGAGCAAGGCGG